AAACUACAGAAGGAAAAAACAAUGUUGUUAUUAAUACCAUUCAGUGUUUUAUUAUUCUCAGUCAUUUUCUAGUUCAACACUCUUUUACAUCAAGCAUUUCCAAAGACGCAAACAUGCCUGUACUAAAAGCUGCAGUUCCACUAAUGUCCAGCAGAGGCAGCAGUGAGUCAGUCCCCAUAGACUUCCAUGUUAAAACUUUACAGCAGAAACAAACAUGUUUACAGCCUGGUAGCUGGUCUCUGUACAUGGGAGAAUGUUUCUAUAACUCACCUGUUUAAAUUGUAUUAAGGCUUAAGGUUUGCAUUAUUAGGGGCGUGGCCUCCCUGACUCACUGACUUCUUUGACACAGGUGGCUGUAGCAGCUAGCGGUCUGCUAGCUUCACCUGAACUGGACCUCUGCACCGUGAUUGUGCUGUUGGAGCCUUAUGGAGUAUUUUCAAUGACAUCAUGUGACCAAAAAUAUGGCUGCUGUGAGGUCACUGUACUAACUGUCAUGGUCUGGGUGUGUGGCUGUAAGAUUCAAGCUGAAAGUCUGGACCUCUCUGGUAUCCACCCAUGGGCAGGGCCUACAGCCUCCCUCACCUGAAGCUGAUUGAGGCAAUCAGGUUGAAGAUUUAAGCUGCUUGCUGACACUGCUUCCUCCCCAGUUCGUCAACUACCUUAUGUUGGUAACCAGGCCUCACGCUCCAUGUUUAUGAAUCUCAAGCGCUCUACUAACCUUGUAAUCUCGUGUUCUAGUUACUCCUGGAAACUCCAUCACACUGAACCACUCGUCUUGGAACUCUGGUUAACCUGCCUGCUUUCAGAAUCAUCUCCUUGCCUCACCUGCCUGCCCUCCUGCCCUUACACCACCUCGGGACCUUCACCGCUCAGGACAGCUGCCACACACCACCAAACCCACCUGGACCACGUUACCUCUCCCUCAACGCUUCCAUCUCCCACCUGCACAUACGUACCUAAUCACCAGCCAGCUGCCGUUGCUUUCUUGGACCUGUCCCCUUGCUUAUCCCUCUCCCCUGGCCAAGACCCUCACGCCCCAUGUGUCAAGCCUUAAAUCAAGUACUAUCGUAAACGUCAUUUUUGUGUUAGUCAAUAAACCUUUGUUAAACCCCUUCCUCAGCCUCCGCCUUGGGUUUUUUGCACGUGGGUUUGAUUUUUGGUACUCAGCCUACGGCCGUUUUGUGACACUAACAGACCGUCCGAGAAGGCGGAGCUCCAGGGUUGGAGAAUUUUGAGAAUUUCAUUUGCAAUGGAGAUAUGACAGCUGCUGAGGAAGAUGAAUUUUAUCACCCUGAAAAUCUAAAUCCUAUUUAAAUCUAAAUUUAUUUCUAAAACCACUUUUACUUCAUGUUGCUCAGAUGGUGGUUUUAUUAGUCUGUGUUCUGCUUCACAUUAAAUAUUCUGACCUUUCAUGAAUCUGCCUCAGGAAUAAUCGUUCAGAAGAACAACACCCCCGAUGAGCAGAGCGAUUUAACACAGAAGCUGAACAUUACAAACCAUUAAAAAUGGAACAGAUCUCUGUAUUCUCAGGAAUAUCCAGGAUGUGGGCUCACGUGUUUGUGGACACGAUGGAGUGGUUACUCAUCAUGAAAUGGGAAGUUUUGA
This is a long non-coding RNA of Oreochromis niloticus (Nile tilapia), 1605 nucleotides long. RefSeq lists it as uncharacterized. The record is from RefSeq and is a predicted model, not a curated record. Lineage: Eukaryota; Metazoa; Chordata; Actinopteri; Cichliformes; Cichlidae. The transcript is spliced from 2 exons.